Molecule: long non-coding RNA, 9066 nt
Organism: Equus asinus (donkey)
Lineage: Eukaryota; Metazoa; Chordata; Mammalia; Perissodactyla; Equidae
Source: Ensembl
GUCAAACAUUUUUUUUAGGUUAAAAGUCCAAUCAGUACAAAAAGAUGUAUAACAAAAAGUGACUCAUCUUCCUCUGGUGUCCCCCAGCUCCCCUCCCCGCAGGCCACAGAUCCCUGUGUGUCCCUCCACAGAUGUGCUGCACUUCUAUGAGCACAGUCACCAGACACCUCUUAUGGGUCAGACAGCAGCUGGGCAUCAGAGUCACAUGGCACUUUUUCAAAAUGUCAAGGGGCCAGCCCGGUGGUGCAGCGGUUAAGUGCGCACAUUCUACUUCCUGGCGGCCCGGGGUUCGCCAGCCCAGAUCCCGGAUGUGGACAUGGCACCGCUUGGCAAGCCAUGCUGGGCAGGCGUCCCACAUAGAAAGUAGAGGAAGAUGGGCACAGAUGUUAGCUCAGGCAGGGUCAGUCUUCUUCAGCAAAAAAUAGGAGGAUUGGCAGCAGUUAGCUCAGGGCUAAUCAUCUUCAAAAAAAAAAAAAGUUUUCGAGACUCAGGACCCUUGUCAGACCUCUGGAGGUAGAAUUCCUAAAAUUGGAGCCAGAGUGUCUACAUUUUUUUAAGCCAGUGUUUUCUGUUGCUCAACCAGGCGGAGACCUCUGUACUCAAGAUGCAACGUCCCAGACACAAUUCCUGCUCCCCAGUCCCCUGAAGUCUGCCAGAGAUGGGCCCGGAGCUCCAACUACCUGGGCCACUGCUCAGAGUUGUACAGACUGUACCCUGCGCAGGGGCACCCAGACAAGCCCUGAAAUCUGGUCAAACCCUCGAACCAAGGCAGGUGACACCACAUCCAACCCCCAGAGGCGCUGGCACCACCUUCGAAUUUACUAUGUCAACUGUUCCAUGUGAAUGCAGGGAGACCUGUUCUGUGAUGCAGCAGCGCAGGCGGGGGCCCUCAGUCUGGCUGCAGGCCCGGGAUGACUUUCUGCAGGAGGUGAUGCUUGGGCCAAGUUUUGUAUAGAGUUGGAAUCAAAGAAGGCGGGCCUCUACCUGUACAUACUUCUCUCUCCCAGGUCGCCCCACUCCAACCCCGACCCCACAGCUCUGUAUGCUUAUCAGGGGCCACUGGCGGGGACACUUUAAUAACAAUGUACAUCCUGAAGGUCCUGGGAGACAGACUGGGAUGGAAGGAGGGAUCCAGCCGUAAGUCAGCGCAGCGCGCCUGGCCUGGGACAUCUUGAGGUUAAUUGACUUGGUGUCCAGAAGUACCUGCUUAGGGGAACAGGGAUGCAGGAGCCUUGUUCCUUCUGGCAAUCUGAGAGGUUCUGCAACGCCAGCAUCCACCUCUCAACAGCCUGAAUCGAUGCUAUCAAAGAGGUGUCCUCAGACCACGGCCAAUCCACAGACUGUUACCCAUCUGCAAUGAGCUAAGUACAGAAAUGGAAAGUAAGCAUUUAGAAACUUUUAAACAAUCUAACAAGGUCGGUUAAAGUCGAGGCUAGUAUUGUGCAUCUUUUUUUAAAUUUCAUUUUAUCUAUUAAAAUUUUUUAUUAUAAAAUAUACCGUUUUAACUAUUUUUAAGUGUAUAAUUCAGUGGCAUUAAGUACAUCCACAAUGUUAUAUAACCAUUACCUCUAUCUUGUAUAUUUCUUUCUUUCUUUUUUUUUUUUUGAGGAAGAUUCGCCCUGAGCUAGCAGCCACCGCCAAUCCUCCUCUAUUUGCUUAGGAAGGCAGACCCUGAGCUCACAUCCGUGCCCAUCUUCCUCUACUUUAUAUGUGGGACGCCUGCCACAGCAUGGCUUGACGUAGCACGUAGGUUCCGCACCCAGGAUCGGAAUCAGCAAACCCCGGGCUGCUGAAGCGGAAUGUGCGAACUUAACCACUGUGCCACCGGCCUGGCCCUCGUAUAUUUCUUUAAUUUUGCAAAAGUAUAAGUUCUCAGCAGAUUAGAAAAAAAUUUUUAAUGUCGUUUGAGAAGCACUGGCCUCAAUGUUGACCUCUGGGUUCCCAAAGCCUCAAAGGCUUGGGGGAAAUAGGCACCUGAUUGAAGGGCUUGUACAUUGUUUGGCUUCAUUUCCCCAAACUGUUGAGAUUUGCCCCAGAGAGUGGCAUGGCUGAGGCCCAGCCUCCCUGGGCUGGAGGAGCGGACGGAUGGGCACCAACCUGGAAGGGAGUGGAGGAGGCCUUGUGCUCCCCGGGCUGGGCAGAGGAGUGCUCUCCGGGGAAAGGCCUGCCCUGUGCCCUGGGCAAGGGGGCCCAAUGAGAUGCUGCAGGAUGUUCUGGCAGCCUUUCCCCCACUCAGCCGGCGGGGGGAGGCGAGUUGGUUUAGACUUCCAAGAAUGUCAGCUCCGACUGGAAGGGCCCUCAGUGACCCUGUUGUCUGCCCUCCUUGUUUAGAGGAAGAGCUUGAGGCUGGAGAGAAAGGACUUGCCCAAGGUUACAGCCAGUUAGUGGUGCUCCCAAAUCUAGGCCUUUCAGUUCCCAGGCAGGAGCGGGCCAGAGGUGUCUGGAGUCACACAGGAUGGGAUCAAGUUCUAGCUCUAUUAGCGCCAAGGGGCCUUGGGCAUCUGUACCCUCAUCUGUCAAAUGGGGAUAAUCCCUCACAGCUGGACGCGUACUGAGCCUGUGCUGGGUUUAAGGAGGGGCCUAGCCCAGGUUGGGGGAUAGGCAGGACGAGUCAGUGCCCUGCCCCUCCCUGCCCCUUCCUGCCCAGUGUUCCUCCUGCCGACUGCUGGGGCUUCUCAGCCUGCCACGGCCCCUUGCUGCAGCUGAGGGGACAGAGGAAGACAGACCCUCUCCCUCCAGACUGAGAAGAACAGGGGGCUCAUAACCUACCCCACCGGCCCCUCUGAGCCUCUCCCUCCCCAGCUGGCCAGCCCUCCAGGCCCGACCCCUCCGCUAACUCUCUGGGCAUCUUUGAGACAUUUUUGUCCUUUCUGGGACUCAGAACAUUUAUAAAAUGAAGGAGUUGAAUCAGAAGAACUCGAAAGUCCAUUUUGAGGAGUGGGUGCUGAAGUUUGGAUGCUUUAAAUUUCUGUAUCUUUUCUGGGAGAGUUAAACUCCCAGCAUGUCAGACUGGGCCGCCUCGGGUUCCUGGCCACCUGCCUCCCUCUGUUCUUGCCUUUCUCCGUACUUUCUCUCUCCCUCCAGUCUCUCUUUUCUCUCUUAUGGCUGAGGUGUUUUGAGCGCUUACCAUUUGCUAUGCACUGUUUAAGCAUUUUACAUAUUCCAUCCUGUGGAAUCCUUAAAACAUCCUUGUGAAGUAAAUACUAUUCUUAUCCCAUUUUCCAGACAAGGAAACUGAGGUUCGGAGAGUUACGUCACUGACCCACAGCUGGUCAGUGGGAGCGCCAUAGGAGGCACUGACACCAUUCCCCAGAUGGGCAGUUCAUUCUGGCCUGAAUUCACCUAAUUCAAAAUGGCGGGUGCCUGUUCUCACCUCCUCCCUCCUGUUUUCCCCAAAUGGGCUCUGACUCCCACCCCAGAGACGCCCCUGCUGGGCGCAUCACCAGGGCCGUCAGGGAGGAGGGUUUGGCUGUUGGUGGGCAGAGGAUCACUCCUCGGUUCCAGUUUCUGACUUGUAUCUCAGGUAUCAGGCCUCUACCUUCCACCUCCUUCCUCUCCUUUCUCUUCAGAUGUCCAAGAGCUGGAAGGUCCCCUAAGGGAUUACCCAGAACAGGCCUCUGCAUUCAAUCACUUAUUCAUUCACUGAACAAGUACAUUUCGAGUCCUCCUACCUGCCAGGCAGUGUUAGGCCCUGGGGAGACAGCUAUGUACAGGGCAGACAAGCUCCCUGUCCUCAAGAGCUUACAUUCUGGUGGAGGAGACAGACAAUAACAAAAGAUGAUGAGUGCAAUGGAGAACAUGAAAGGGGUGCUGUGACACACAGUGACCGCAGCAGGGGCGAGGUCCUCUACAGAGUAGGUGGGCAGGCGGCAGUGCACUCCUGGCAGAGAGAACAGCUAGUGCAAAGACCCAAAGGCAGGAACCAGCAGGUGUGAGGAAGGAGCACAAAGCCCUGCAUGGCUGGAGAGGAUGAGCAAGGGGCCCAGGGCAAGGGGGCUGGGCAGCGCCAGCCAUGCAGACCUUGGGCCAGGACGAGGGGUCGCAUUCUGUUCUGUGUGUGAUGUGAAGCCUCUGGGGACUUUAAGCAGGGGGUGAUUAUGUUUGUAAAGGACUCUUGGGCCACUGCGAGGAGAGUGGAUGUAAGGGGAGCAGGAGUGCGGGAGGGAGAAAUGAGGGUGGCUUGGACUAGGGGGGGUCAAUGCGAUAAAGAGACAAGGUCAGAUUCAGAGUCUAUCACAGUGGAGCCAACAGGAUGCUGAUGGAUGAGAUGUGGGCCGGGGCGGGGUGGGGGGGGUGAGGGAUGCCCCCUGGGGUUUUUCGCCUGGGCAGCUGAGUGAAUGGAGGUGUCAUCUACUCAAAUGGAAAAGCCUGGAGAAGGAACCCGGAUGGAAAGAAGCAAUGUUUCCACUUAACCUUCAUGGCAGACCCUGCUAGCUGGCUUCCCAGCAAAUCUAUUCUCUCUCCUUCUUUUUCAUAAUAGAAGGCCGAAAGGUUUUUUUUUUUUCUUCAAGCAUUGACCUGUCUGUCCCCUCCUUCUGCCUUUUGCCCUUUUCCCAUCCUCCUUUCUCCGGCCUGGAAUGGAGACAGGAUACUAGAGAUACAGCAGCCAUCUUGUGACAACUAGGGUAGAGGCCACUGGAUAAGAUAGCUGGAGCGGGGAGAUAGAUGGCGCCUGAGCCCUUGAUACUAUCACUGAGCUGGCAUAGCAGUCUUUGACUGCCUUUCCCCCGGGUUCUUGUUGUGGGAGGCAAAUUAAUCCUUUUAUUUGUUUAAGCCACUGUUUUGUGGCUUUUCAUUGCUUGCUGCGGAAUGCAGUUGUUGCUAACAGAGUCAUGUUGAGUUUGAGAUUUUGGAGGAGAAACCAGAAUUCAGUCAUUCAUUCAAGAAAUAUGUAUUGAGGACCUACUAUGCGCCAGGCACUGCUGAGAAUUCAGCAGUGGAUCAAACAGGUAAAAAUGCCUGCCCUUGAGGAGUUUAUACUCUGGAGUAACCUAGAAGCCGGACCUGACUUCUGGGCUAUGCAUUCUCAUUUGAUCCAAAGGUGGUAAGAUUUGAACUAUAAAGAGGGGACAGGGGUAAAAUGUGGCCUGUCUAUUCUCACAGGCUUCCUCAUCCACCCAUUAUGUUAGCAAAUUGAAAAUCAACAUAUUGGGGCCCGCCCCGGUGGCGCAGUGGUUAAGUGCGCGCGUUCUACUUCAGCGACCCGGGGUUCGCCGGUUUGGAUCCCGGGUGUGGACAUGCCAUCACUUGGCACGCCAUGCUGUGGUAGGCGUCCCACACAUGGAGUAGAGGAAGCUGGGCACGGAUGUUAGCUCAGGGCCAGUCUUCUUCAGCAAAAAGAGGAGGGUUGGUGGCAGAUGUUAGCUCAGGGCUAAUCUUCCCCAAAAACAAAUUAAAAAAUAAAUUUAAAAAAUUAAAAAAAAAAUCAACAUACUUCUCUGGUGUUUUCUAUAAGCCAAACACUAGGCUGCAUUCUCUCUCUGUGAGGGAGGUGUUAUUAUUACCAAGCCCAUUUUGCAGGAUGGUAAGCAAGCCGCCUCUGUCACACAACUAAGUGGCUGUGCUGAGAUUUGAACCCGGGGCUUUCUGACUCCAGAAACUCCACUGCACUCACUGACCCCCUGGGCCACCUCUUGGCCCCCUUUUCCUGCAAUCCUUUUGAUCACUGUUUGACAAACCAUUUCCUGCUUCCCCUUUCUCCUUGCUUUGGACAGGUACUAUGUCUCUUAUUCAUCUGUAUAUUCCGGGCACCUAACGAGGGCCUGGCACCCUUCAUCCAUUCAUCCCACUUUUCAAAAAAUGUUCUCUGUGCCAAUUGCUAGGAAUACAGGACAAGUCACAGAACAGCACACCCAGCCUAGGAGGGGGACAGGCAAUUAACAGGCGUCACAGUGUGGUGGGUGCUGGUAGGUAUCACAGGGGCCAAGAGAAGCACAGAAAAGGGCAACCAAGUCAGACUGAGGUGGUGGGGACCAGUCAACCAGUCGUGGAGGAGUCAGCAUCUGAGCUGAGUCCCAAAGGAGAAACAGGAGUAGAGCAGGUGAAAAAGCAGCCGUGGGUGUUUCAGGUGGAGGGAGCAGCACGUGGAGGAACGAGAGAGGCAAGACGGCAGCCUGUGGGAGCGACUGGACUAUGACAUGGGGGGAGUAGGGAGGCAUGAGGCUGGGGGAGGAUCUCAAGGCCCUCAGCCAGGGCUAGCAGUUUGGACUUGAUUUGGUAGGCACUGGGGAGCCGCCAAUGGGCGCUGAGCAGUGUGGGCCCUGGUCAGAUUUGCCUGGGCACUCUACAAAUACUUGAUGGAAUGAAUGAAUGAAAGAAGAAAUGGUAACUAUGGGGUCCCAUGCAUGUGUCCUGCAGAGAGGAGGGGGCGGUUAAUGAUCUGGCAGUGGAAGGACAAGGCAGGCAGACUCCCGGACACGAGCCAACCACUUCCCUCAGCUCCUCCUCCCUGGGCCUGUGACUCCCCUGCCUGGACACUAGUCACUUGCUGGGAUCUUUACGGGAGCCUCUGCACUAGUCCCCCUCUUUCUGCCCUGGCCUCUACAGUGUGUUCUCUAACACAGCCCCGGUGACCCUCUGAAGUCGGGUUCUCCACCCCAGCGCUCUGCCCAACCCCUUUGCCACCUCAGCUACAUCAAAAUGGAAGAAGAAAUUGCUGCUCUCGGCGUUUACAAUGGCUCUGGCAUGUGCAAAGUUGGCUUUAGCGGAAUGAUGCCCCCAGAGCAUCAUGGGAAAUGUGGGACAGGACAGAUACAUGGGUGAUGAGCUCAGAGCAAGAGCGACGUUCUGAGCCUGAAGCGCCUCAUUGAACUGGGCUGACAUGGAGAAAGACCUGGCAUCACACCCUCUACCCCCAGCUUCCUGUUGCCCCAAGGAACACCCUCUUCUCUUUACCAAAGUUCCACUGACCCCCAAGAGCAAUAGGGAGAGGACGGCCCAGCUCAACACCCUCCAGGCAUGCUGCUGCCCGGGUCGGGCCCUCCUCCAGGUGGUUGUGGACUCUGGAGUAGUGUUGCCCUCACAGUGCCUAUCAGUGAGGGUGACACCCUGCCCUCAGUGAGGGUGACACCCUGCCCUACGCCGGCCUCUGGACUUGACUGACCGUGACUUGGGAGAUGACCUCCUGGAGGAGAGCCUGACGGAAAGAGGUUACAGCCUCGCUACCACAGCUGAGAGGGACUGGUGUGUGACGCGGAGGGAAAGCUCUGCUGCAUCACCCUGGACCUGGAGCAGGAGAUGGCCCCCGCUGUGUCCUCCGCUUCCUCCCCGGAGAAGGGCUGUGAGCUUCUGAUGGUCAGGAGGUUGUCCUUGGCCAUGAGAGGUCCAGAUGUCCAGAGCGUCUCCUCCAGCCCUCGUUCCUGGGCUUGGCGUCCUGUGACAUUCAUGAAACCACUUUUAACUCGGUUCUGAAGUGUGCGAUUGACCUCUGAAAGGAUCUGUGUGCCCACACAGCAUUGCAGGGGGGCCAACAGAACGCAGGGAGAAAUCACGGCCAAUGAAGACAGUUUCUCCUUAGGCACUAAAAAUCCGGAGCGGUGGCUUCCUUGCAGGCUGCUCUCUCCGCCUUCCAGCAGAUGUGGAUCAGCAAGCAGCAGGGGGACGGGUCAGGCCCUCUGACUGUCCGCUACAAAUGCCUCCAAUGAUGCAACUGCAGAAUGUCUGUUGCAUGAGUUCAUUCACAAGUAUAACUUUACCCUGGCAAAAUAUAUACGCUUACGCUGGCCUCCUGAAACUGGAGCAGCUUUUGAGAAGAAAUCUGCCCAAUACUGAAAUGAACACCAUCCUCGGGUUGUAAAAUAAGAGAGAUGCUUCCGGAGGCCGGAGACUGAGCCUGUCCUGUUCUGUCCUGUGUCCCUGGCACCUGGAAUAGGGCCCAGCACACAGUAGAUGGAGAAACUGAGGCCCAGAGAGGGGAAGCGAUGUGUCCCAGGUCACAGAGAAAGCUAGCGACAGACAAUGGACUCAAACCCACGGCACCGUCUGGGCUUUUGCCUCUCUUCUCGUCCCGUCCUUCUGUCCCGCCCACCCUUUCCUCCCACAGGCCUGCAGCCAAUCUUUCCCAAGUGCCACUUUGGGCCAGCCUGGUGCCCUGGGCCCUGGGCUUCCUGCCCUGGAAGCUCAGGCUGCCUGAGGCUAUGUCAUUGCCACUUCCUCCUGUCAGACCUCCAGAGCUGCCUGCCCCUCCUCCCCACACCCUGUCCCGGCCACAGACUCUGCUACUCGUUUAAAAAUCCUGAUGCCCAGGUUGCUCCCCAGACCAAUGAGAUCAGAAUGUCUGGCGGGGGGGGGGGGGGGGGGGGGGGGGGGGAGGGGAUGGUCCAGGCAUCAGGGUUUUUUUUUUUUAAGAUGUCGGGGUGAUUCCAUUUGUAGCAAAGUUUCGAAACCUCUGUUUUAGCCUUGAUAAAUGGCACCUCCACCUCCUGUUCCUUGGCCCCUAGGCUGCAGAUAUUCUUUCUCGGGAUCUACUUUCUGGAUGCCUGGGCCUGGGCCCCAGGACAGUCCUCAGCUGGGCAAUCCCAACUCCUUCCUGCUCCUGCCCUUUGCCCAACAGGUCUCCGGUCUGCCGAGAUUGCCUGUUCUGAUCUGCCUCACCACUGCCAGGAACUCACUAAAUAUUUGUUGGUAAUGAUGUUGAUAAAUAUUUGCUGUUAAUGACCUCAGUCUGACCAAGAGGAUCCUUGAUGUAGAAGAAAGAAAAGGGCUUUUUUUUGUUGUAGGUCAUUCUAGUUCUUCUAUGUGGGACGCUGCCACAGCAUGGCUUGAUGAGUGAUGUGUAUGUCUGCGCCCAGGACCUGAACUGGGGAAGCCCAGGCUGCGGAAGCAGAGCACAUGAACUUAACCUUUUGGCCGUGGGGCGGGCCCCAAGAAAAGGGCUUUGAGGGCCAGCAGCUUGUGACCGGUUCCUCUGGCAACAGGCUGCUCUUGCCCAGGUGGUGGGGAAUGGCGACUGUUUCCAUGGGGAGGAAGUAGAACCUCAGGAAGGAAGGUGGCUGUGAGCCUUCCGAAAAGGACGCUGCCCAAGGGGGCUUCCUCCCAGGGCAGGACAACUGCAGCAGAGAGGUGAAA